GCAUUAGUGAAUGUUCAUAAAAUUCAUACAAAAUAUACGGAAUCGAAUACACGCAUACGUUAACAACACUAGACACAAUGUUACUCUCAUGGAGAAAGUAGUGAGGUCUCAAAAUCAUUCUGGGCUACAGGGACCUGAGGUGCAUUAAGCACUAUGUUACUCUCAUGAUUCUUCUUGAAACUCCAUCAGUUGAAAAUGAUAAGGUUUGUGCUGGAAAAGAGAACAAUCUGCUUGUUUUUGGCUUCCCCAAAGUAUAGGACACAAGAUCAAACAUGCUCUGCUACGUUGCUCAUUCUCUACGCCUUAUUCACACGGAUUUUUUUACCUUCUAACAACUGCAGUUAACAGGUCAUCAAACAAAUUAGUCAGCAUUGUUGUAUUUAGAAGCAAACUAAUCACUCAUUAAACCACCAAAUUAUUUUCAAUUAAUAAAAUUUAAUCCCACUGAACAAUACAUCAUCAAACCAUGAGAGGAUAUUUAAGUAAUGUUAAAAAAAAUUUGGAGAUAGGAAACUUAUAUAGCAAGAUAUCAAUAUACAUCUAAGAAAGCUUGAGGAAAAUUACCGCAAUCAAGUAAGCAUGACCAAAAGAUACAGCGAGGGACGAGAUGUGCACUUCUAUUUUUACAAGGGAACUCGAUAAUGAAAAAUAAGUAAGCUAUUGUGCUUUUGCCAAUGCUAGAUAUUGGAAUAUACUAAUAUCUCAGAUUUUCAUUAAAUUGGACAUGAAGUUUGGAUAUCAUCAGAGAGCAGGGAAGUCAUUUUAGAGAAGUAGCUCUCCACUACCUAGCGGUGCCAAGAACUUGAAGAAUAUAAGAAUGUCUUAAUUUGCAAAUAAACAAGAAGCGCAGUUAACAACUUACAGCGUUGUUGAAAGAAGAGAUAGCAGUUUCUACAUCCUCAUCUGAUGAAAAUGUAACAAAACCAAAACCGCUGGAUUUUGAGGUCCCAGGAACCCGUGAAACCUUGGCACUGAGAGCUUUUCCUUUUUCAGAAAAGAAUUUUUUAAGGAUAUCAGAUGUUACAUUUUUAGCCAGAUUUCCCACAUAUACCUUGUAGGGACUGUCAACAAAUUGGGAUUCCUCAGCCUGAAGUGACAAACCUCCUGUUGUUGUUAAAGGUUUUUCGGUUAUAUUCACUUUAAUCUCACGCCCUCCAAUUUGCUGUCAUAAAAACGCGAAGUUCAUAAGUCCCUUAAGAAACCUAGAUCAUUUAAUGAACAUUAGUAUUCUUUUAAUGUAAUUUUGUAAACUCUGCAGUGAAACUUACAGUGCCAUUGAGUUUCUCAACUGCUGCGUUCGCAUCCUCAACGGUUUUCAUUGUAACAAAUGCAAAGCGACGGCUCCUUUUAGAGUAUUUAUCAUACAUGACCUAUGAAUAAAAAAAGCAUACAGAAAAUUUAGCAUGACUCUCAUUAUUUGUUUUAUAUAAAAUGAUAAAACAUAAAAUGAAAGUUGAAGUUGUUUAACUACUUUAGAAGAGUAUCCACAAUGCCCCUAUCAACUCAAAUCCCUAUGUUAUAAAUUCAAUAUUUAUUCUAUGCAAGUCACGUGUACUAAACUCUAAAUUCUUCCGUUUUCAUAUGAAUGCGACGAUUGCAAAUGAAAGAAAACAUGAUGCUAGCAAAAAUUGUUGCAUUUAGAUUUCUAUAAGGUACAUCGUGAAGACAUGAAUUGAACCACUCUGUUUCUGCUGUGAAACCCAGUGUCACUGCCGCACCAUUAACGUGCGACGUCACUGGCCCAAACGUGGCAGCAUCGGCACAAUUGUGGUGUAAAAUGCCGUUAUUGACCACAUUUUCAUUGAUAUUGUCUUGUAGACCAAAAGGAAAAAAACAACCAUAAACCUAAAACUGGCAAGCUUCUUGUACUUUCUACCAAAGCAAGAUUCUCCAUAAAAGUGGCAGCAGAACACACACAUCAUAUCCACCUAAAUAUAAAGAACCAACUCAAACCAGUCUCCCAUUUCUAAGCUGCUUUACAUGGCUACAUGAAUACAUGUACAAUAACAGUAUGGAAAAGAUUUCUAUAAAAUUUAUGGUGUAAAAUGUCCAAAUAAUAAUAUAACAUGAAAGGAUAUUAAAUUGUUCAGCAUGACAACAAAACUUCAAAAAAACUAAGUUUAUUUAAAUUAGAAAACAUACCAACUUCCUCAAUAAAAAAGCAAUAAAGAAAAGUUCUAGCCAAUGUUUUAAAAACGGUCCGUUACCGCGAAAAUGGCCGUAUAAAACGAUAUAGGAAGGUGCCGAUACUAAUACUGUUAUUCAUUGUUUUUAUGAUAAAGAACAAACUGUGUUUAAUUCACACCGCGACAACCGCAAUCAGUGUCGCAACACCUGUACCGACCGAAAUCACGAAGGCCUUACUCAACCGCAAUGCGCCCGUUAUUUAAAAACUUGGUUCUAGCACCAAAAUUGGAUAUAGAAUAUAAAAUAUGCUCCCCCUCCCCUCAAAGAAACCGUUAUUUAAGUGAACCCAGACACACACUUCAGUGUCAAACAUUCCAUAUUAUAUAAUAAGAAAACACCAUAUCUACAAUGCACUCCUCCUUCAAUAAAAUUAACCAUAAUCACAAUUAACCAAACUAAAUCCAUUGGUUCUUUCUCUUAAUUUUCAAUUUCAAAUUAGUCUUUCACCAUAAUUCAUAUAUCAAUGUUCAAAACUUUAAUAAUAUUUUCUUAAUUAGCUGGCUUCUUGCCUACUAAUGCAUCAUUUUGGAUCCUAAUUUGUUUCACAAUUGAUGAAUACAUUUACAUCUCUUCCAACCGUUUUUCUAUACAUAUUAACAUUCGUAAUCCUAAGUAAUUAAUUACACAUUCAAAACUACUUUUAAUACUUCUAAUUAUCAAAUAUCCCCAAACAAAUUCCAUUUCACAACACAACACAAACAUUUCACAAAAUUCCCCCAAACAUAAACCACUUCCAACAAACCUAAGUUCACAAACUUAAAUCCAAAACACACAAAAUCUGAACGAAAACUACCUCAGCCUUUUCAACAGCGCCAUGUUCUUGAACAAUCUGAGCAAGUUCAUCAUUAUCAACAGUGCGAGGAAUGUUACCAACGUAAAGCUUUCUAACCGCCGGAGAACUCGCCGUUGCUUGUUCAGAAACCGUUACGUAUCUCCUGAAACGGCGUGUGAGAGAAGAAGGUGCCGAUUGAAAGAACAAUGUCGUUUUGGGUUUCAAGUUAUUACAGUUUGGUGGUUGUGUUGUGAGGGAAAGGAAAUUGGGUUGUGAGAGAAGAGAAAGAGAAGACAUUGUUGCGGAUAGAUGGAGUUUGAUGAAGAUUUGAGGAAGUAAGUGUGAAGGGUGGUUUUGGUUUUUAGCUUGGAAAGUUUAGAGGUUUAUCUUGUUAUCUUGGUGGUGGU
This 3366-nucleotide long non-coding RNA is filed under the name Lathyrus oleraceus (garden pea). Its description in RNAcentral is "Pisum sativum (pea) long non-coding RNA (PSAT_LNC037050)". Lineage: Eukaryota; Viridiplantae; Streptophyta; Magnoliopsida; Fabales; Fabaceae. The record is from RNAcentral.